RNAcentral lists this transfer RNA (92 nucleotides) under Felis catus (domestic cat). It matches the Rfam family "tRNA". From Rfam's summary of the family: Transfer RNA (tRNA) molecules are approximately 80 nucleotides in length. Their secondary structure includes four short double-helical elements and three loops (D, anti-codon, and T loops). Further hydrogen bonds mediate the characteristic L-shaped molecular structure. tRNAs have two regions of fundamental functional importance: the anti-codon, which is responsible for specific mRNA codon recognition, and the 3' end, to which the tRNAs corresponding amino acid is attached (by aminoacyl-tRNA synthetases). tRNAs cope with the degeneracy of the genetic code in two manners: having more than one tRNA (with a specific anti-codon) for a particular amino acid; and 'wobble' base-pairing, i.e. permitting non-standard base-pairing at the 3rd anti-codon position. Lineage: Eukaryota; Metazoa; Chordata; Mammalia; Carnivora; Felidae. The record is from Rfam by way of RNAcentral.
GCCUGGGUGGCUCAGUCAGUUGAGCACCCGACUCUUGAUCUCGGCUCAGGUCACGAUCUCAUAGGCUGUGGGUUCAAGCCCCACAUCGGGCU